ACGUGGUACAUUGGUAAUGCCCAGUGGAGCGUUUGAACCCUGGAUGUGUGAAGAAUCCUGUUGGAGCCUUUGUGCUUGGGCUGUGUACCAUAACUUCCUCCAGUGGAACAAUACGGGACCGGAAGAGGCUCUUCUCACACUUACCCAUUUAUUAACUUUGUGGGGCUCUUGUUUAAGUGGAAAAUCACUCCGUCCAAUAAAGGAGGAGAAGAAAGAUCCCAAUUCACCAUCGUUUUUUUUAUUCCCGUUUUUAAUGUCUUCUCUGAAUCGCAUUCUCAUUGGAGGGUCGCCUUUUUUUUCGUCCGUUUUUUGGGAGGUCGUUGGGGAAAUUUCUCCAGUGCGUUAUUGGUGUGGGAUAAUGGACAGGACACACCCUAAUUCAGGAAUUUCUCUCUGUUUUUUCUUCUUUCUGUCCGUGGAUACGGUGGUCCCGGCGAAGUUCAGACACUCCAGAACAGAGCCUAUAAGAUGAGCGUCAACGUGAAAGGCUUGGGAGGUGAAGAUCAAGUCAUGCGUCCUCCGAAACAUGACCCACCAAACUGCGCUUCUUAACACUCGCCCGCUUAACCCGGAAGCCAGCCGCACCAAUAUGUCGGAGGAAACACCGUUUACCUGAUGACCGAGGUCAGCCUGCAGGCCCCCGGCCUGCCACAAGGAGUCGCUAAACCGCGAUGAGCCAAGACCUCCCGGCCAAACGCUACCCUAACCUAUGGGACUCCCAAUCACAGCCAGUUGUGAUACAGCCCAGGACCAAACCAGGACCAUGCAGGCUGGUCGCCCCUGCAGAGGCGUGUAACCAUGGCAGCAGUGCAUGUGUGGAGGCCCUGCUGUCCCUCACCUGAACGGCCAGGUAGGCGGAGUCAGUCUGCUACACGAUGCUCUGUGGACACACAGACAUUGACAAGAUGCUGCAGCAUGCAGGUCAGUACACACACACAUACACACAGAUUAACAAAUGCAUGCACACACAAAGAUAUUGGUACAAGUUUGAGGGGUAUUUGAACCACUAUGGUACUUGGA
Molecule: long non-coding RNA, 1020 nt
Organism: Oncorhynchus keta (chum salmon)
Lineage: Eukaryota; Metazoa; Chordata; Actinopteri; Salmoniformes; Salmonidae
Exons: 3
Source: RefSeq, a predicted model, not a curated record